GACGAACGCUGGCGGCGUGCUUAACACAUGCAAGUCGAACGGAAAGGCCCCUUUGGGGGUACUCGAGUGGCGAACGGGUGAGUAACACGUGAGUAACCUUCCCUUGACUUCGGGAUAACUUCAGGAAACUGGGGCUAAUACCGGAUAGGAAUCCUUGCUGCAUGGUGGGGGUUGGAAAGCUUCGGCGGUUUUGGAUGUACUCGCUGCUUAUCAGCUUGUUGUUGGGGUAGUGGCUUACCAAGGCUUUGACGGGUAGCCGGCCUGAGAGGGCGACCGGCCACAUUGGGACUGAGAUACGGCCCAGACACCUACGGGAGGCAGCAGGGGGGAAUAUUGCACAAUGGGCGGAAGCCUGAUGCAGAAACGGCGCGGGCGGGAUGACGGCCUUCGGGUUGUAAAACGCUUUCAGCAGGGGCGAAGCUUGUGGUGACGGUACCUGCAGAAGAAGCACCGGCUAACUACGUG
Molecule: ribosomal RNA, 465 nt
Filed under: uncultured bacterium
Lineage: Bacteria
Description: partial 16S ribosomal RNA
Rfam family: Bacterial small subunit ribosomal RNA
Source: RNAcentral